CCUACGGGAGGCAGCAGUGGGGAAUAUUGGGCAAUGGGCGCAAGCCUGACCCAGCAACGCCGCGUGAAGGAAGAAGGCUUUCGGGUUGUAAACUUCUUUUGUCAGGGAAGAGUAGAAGACGGUACCUGACGAAUAAGCAAUGGCUAACUACGGGCCAGCAGCCGCGGUAAUACGUAGGUGGCAAGUGUUGUCCGGAAUUCCUGGGUGUAAAGGGCGUGUAGCCGGGUUGACAAGUCAGAGGUGAAAUCCUUCGGCUUAACCGCAGAACUGCAUUUGAAACUGUUGAUCUUGAGUACUGGAGAGGCAGAUGGAAUGCCUAGUGUAGCGGUGAAAUGCGUAGAUAUUAGGAGGAACACCAGUGGCGAAGGCGGUCUGCUGGAGAGCAACUGACGGUGAGGCGCGAAAGCGUGGGGAGCGAACAGGAUUAGAUACCCUUGUAGUC
Molecule: ribosomal RNA, 442 nt
Filed under: uncultured bacterium
Lineage: Bacteria
Description: partial 16S ribosomal RNA
Rfam family: Bacterial small subunit ribosomal RNA
Source: RNAcentral